Molecule: ribosomal RNA, 479 nt
Filed under: uncultured bacterium
Lineage: Bacteria
Description: partial 16S ribosomal RNA
Rfam family: Bacterial small subunit ribosomal RNA
Source: RNAcentral
GACGAACGCUGGCGGCGUGCUUAACACAUGCAAGUCGAACGAAGCUUGAUUACGGAUUCUUCGGAUGAAGUAUGAUAUGACUGAGUGGCGGACGGGUGAGUAACGCGUGAGUAACCUGCCCUUCAGAGGGGGAUAGCGUUUGGAAACGAACGGUAAUACCGCAUAAUGUAUUUUGACCGCAUGAUCGAAAUACCAAAGAUUUAUCGCUGAAGGAUGGACUCGCGUCUGAUUAGGUAGUUGGUGGGGUAACGGCCUACCAAGCCGACGAUCAGUAGCCGGACUGAGAGGUAGAUCGGCCACAUUGGGACUGAGACACGGCCCAGACUCCUACGGGAGGCAGCAGUGGGGAAUAUUGCACAAUGGGCGCAAGCCUGAUGCAGCAACGCCGCGUGAAGGAAGACGGUUUUCGGAUUGUAAACUUCUGUUCUUAGUGAAGAAUAAUGACGGUAGCUAAGGAGCAAGCCACGGCUAACUACGUG